AACGCUAGCUACAGGCUUAACACAUGCAAGUCGAGGGGUUUCGAAGGAGCUUGCUCCCUAAAGACGACCGGCGCACGGGUGAGUAACGCGUAUCCAACCUGCCCUUCAUAUUGGGAUAGCCUCUCGAAAGGGAGAUUAAUCCCCGAUGUUGUCACAUUCCCGCAUGGAAGUGUGACCAAAGUUUUUCGGUAUGGGAUGGGGAUGCGUUCCAUUAGCUUGUUGGCGGGGUAACGGCCCACCAAGGCGACGAUGGAUAGGGGUUCUGAGAGGAAGGUCCCCCACACUGGAACUGAGACACGGUCCAGACUCCUACGGGAGGCAGCAGUGAGGAAUAUUGGUCAAUGGACGAGAGUCUGAACCAGCCAAGUAGCGUGAAGGAAGACUGCCCUACGGGUUGUAAACUUCUUUUAUACGGGAAUAAAGUGCCUUACGUGUAGGGUUUUGUAUGUACCGUAUGAAUAAGCAUCGGCUAAUUCCGUGCCAGCAGCCGCGGUAAUACGGAAGAUGCGAGCGUUAUCCGGAUUUAUUGGGUUUAAAGGGAGCGUAGGCGGGUUUUUAAGCCAGCUGUGAAAGUUUGCGGCUCAACCGUAAAAUUGCAGUUGGAACUGGAGACCUUGAGUGUGCAUAAGGUGGAUGGAAUUCGUGGUGUAGCGGUGAAAUGCUUAGAUAUCACGAAGAACUCCGAUUGCGAAGGCAGUCCACUGGGGCACUACUGACGCUGAGGCUCGAAAGUGCGGGUAUCAAACAGGAUUAGAUACCCUGGUAGUCCGCACAGUAAACGAUGGACACUCGCUGUUGGCGAUAUACGGUCAGCGGCCAAGCGAAAGCACUAAGUGUCCCACCUGGGGAGUACGCCGGCAACGGUGAAACUCAAAGGAAUUGACGGGGGCCCGCACAAGCGGAGGAACAUGUGGUUUAAUUCGAUGAUACGCGAGGAACCUUACCCGGGCUUAAAUUGCAGAGGACAGCUCAAGAGAUUGAGUCUUCUUCGGACCUCUGUGAAGGUGCUGCAUGGUUGUCGUCAGCUCGUGCCGUGAGGUGUCGGCUUAAGUGC
RNAcentral lists this ribosomal RNA (1054 nucleotides) under uncultured Bacteroidales bacterium. RNAcentral's name for it is "bacterial SSU rRNA". It matches the Rfam family "Bacterial small subunit ribosomal RNA", at positions 32 to 1087 of the family's 1533-position model. Lineage: Bacteria; Pseudomonadati; Bacteroidota; Bacteroidia; Bacteroidales. The record is from RNAcentral.